CNNNAGNNGGCNGGCUACACAUGCAGUCGAGCGGUAGCAACAGAGAGCUUGCUCUCGGGUGACGAGCGGCGGACGGGUGAGUAAUGUCUGGGAAACUGCCUGAUGGAGGGGGAUAACUACUGGAAACGGUAGCUAAUACCGCAUAACGUCGCAAGACCAAAGUGGGGGACCUUCGGGCCUCAUGCCAUCAGAUGUGCCCAGAUGGGAUUAGCUAGUAGGUGGGGUAACGGCUCACCUAGGCGACGAUCCCUAGCUGGUCUGAGAGGAUGACCAGCCACACUGGAACUGAGACACGGUCCAGACUCCUACGGGAGGCAGCAGUGGGGAAUAUUGCACAAUGGGCGCAAGCCUGAUGCAGCCAUGCCGCGUGUGUGAAGAAGGCCUUCGGGUUGUAAAGCACUUUCAGCGGGGAGGAAGGCGUUGAGGUUAAUAACCUUGUCGAUUGACGUUACCCGCAGAAGAAGCACCGGCUAACUCCGUGCCAGCAGCCGCGGUAAUACGGAGGGUGCAAGCGUUAAUCGGAAUUACUGGGCGUAAAGCGCACGCAGGCGGUCUGUCAAGUCGGAUGUGAAAUCCCCGGGCUCAACCUGGGAACUGCAUUCGAAACUGGCAGGCUAGAGUCUUGUAGAGGGGGGUAGAAUUCCAGGUGUAGCGGUGAAAUGCGUAGAGAUCUGGAGGAAUACCGGUGGCGAAGGCGGCCCCCUGGACAAAGACUGACGCUCAGGUGCGAAAGCGUGGGGAGCAAACAGGAUUAGAUACCCUGGUAGUCCACGCCGUAAACGAUGUCGAUUUGGAGGUUGUGCCCUUGAGGCGUGGCUUCCGGAGCUAACGCGUUAAAUCGACCGCCUGGGGAGUACGGCCGCAAGGUUAAAACUCAAAUGAAUUGACGGGGGCCCGCACAAGCGGUGGAGCAUGUGGUUUAAUUCGAUGCAACGCGAAGAACCUUACCU
RNAcentral lists this ribosomal RNA (950 nucleotides) under Escherichia coli. Its description in RNAcentral is "bacterial SSU rRNA". It matches the Rfam family "Bacterial small subunit ribosomal RNA", at positions 34 to 976 of the family's 1533-position model. The record is from RNAcentral. Lineage: Bacteria; Pseudomonadati; Pseudomonadota; Gammaproteobacteria; Enterobacterales; Enterobacteriaceae.